AUGAAAUUUUGCAUACACCACCACCCAAAAUUCAUUUCCCUAGCGAUUUCGAAUAUGGUAUGCCCUAUAUCAUUUUUUUUCUCCAGUCAUUCGUUGUCAAGAAAGUGUGUGACAUUUCGGUUGUUUCUUUGAGAGAUUGCGAUGUUUAGCCAACUCACACCGCCGCGCGAACUGUGCACUGUUCGUACGGCUGGCGUCCUAGCCGACACUUUCUUUUUCUCUGUUCUAUUAGAUAAGACUUCAUUUUAUAUACCAAUUGCAUAGUUACAGUAUUUUAUUUUACCACUGUAACCUUAUAAAUUUUUAUUUCAGAAAGUACCUGAGUAUGAAGCCCCAAGCUAUAUGUUCUAUGUACGUUUACAUCUGCUGGUUAUAAGUCAGUGGCGAUGAUGCAAUCAGAGCUAUGGGUGCUAGAGAAGCGCAACUCCCUCAAUGGGGACAAUCUGCUGUUAACAAUGGCCAAAAUUGGCACCUUCAGAUUCCGUCUCCAUGAUAACAAAAAGUCAUCCUUACUCAUGGUAUAUGUUGUCAUUCCCAAGAUUUUAUUUUUGCAAGAACUUAUAUGUAUGCAAUGGCUACGGGAGAGACUACGAAGGUUCCUGAUGCGCUUGAGACUUUUGAAUUUCCUGUUAUAUAUUAAGUUUCAUGCAUCGUCCUUGUGUA
Lolium perenne is the source of this 663-nucleotide long non-coding RNA. RefSeq lists it as uncharacterized. NCBI's taxonomy places the organism in Eukaryota, Viridiplantae, Streptophyta, Magnoliopsida, Poales, Poaceae. The record is from RefSeq and is a predicted model, not a curated record.